GACGAACGCUGGCGGCGUGCUUAACACAUGCAAGUCGAACGGAAAGGCCCUGCUUUUGUGGGGUGCUCGAGUGGCGAACGGGUGAGUAACACGUGAGUAACCUGCCCUUGACGUUGGGAUAACUUCAGGAAACUGGGGCUAAUACCGGAUAGGAGCUCCUGCUGCAUGGUGGGGGUUGGAAAGUUUCGGCGGUUGGGGAUGGACUCGCGGCUUAUCAGCUUGUUGGUGGGGUAGUGGCUUACCAAGGCUUUGACGGGUAGCCGGCCUGAGAGGGUGACCGGCCACAUUGGGACUGAGAUACGGCCCAGACUCCUACGGGAGGCAGCAGCGGGGAAUAUUGCACAAUGGGCGGAAGCCUGAUGCAGCAACGCCGCGUGCGGGAUGACGGCCUUCGGGUUGUAAACCGCUUUCGCCUGUGACGAAGCGUGAGUGACGGUAAUGGGUAAAGAAGCACCGGCUAACUACGUG
RNAcentral lists this ribosomal RNA (468 nucleotides) under uncultured bacterium. RNAcentral describes it as "partial 16S ribosomal RNA". It matches the Rfam family "Bacterial small subunit ribosomal RNA", at positions 28 to 507 of the family's 1533-position model. The record is from RNAcentral.